RNAcentral lists this ribosomal RNA (442 nucleotides) under Miridae gen. n. sp. South Africa 273. RNAcentral describes it as "partial 16S ribosomal RNA". The stretch from base 305 to 442 matches the Rfam family "Bacterial large subunit ribosomal RNA", at positions 2473 to 2610 of the family's 2925-position model. The record is from RNAcentral. Lineage: Eukaryota; Metazoa; Arthropoda; Insecta; Hemiptera; Miridae.
UGCAUAAUCAUUUGUCUCUUAAUUGGAGUCUGGAAUGAAUGGUUGGAUGAGAAAUUUACUUUCUUUAUUUUAAAAAAAUAAUUUGAUUUUUAGGUUAAAAAGCCUAGAUUUUAUUAUAGGACGAGAAGACCCUAUAGAACUUUAUUCUUUUUUGGUUAAUUAUUUUAUUGAAAAUAAAUAUUUAUAUAUCUUAGUGGAAUUUUGUUGGGGUGACAAAAAAAAUUUUAUAACUUUUUUUAUUUUCUUCAUUUAUUUAUGAAUUUUUGAUCCUUUAUUAUGGAUAAUAAGACUAAGUUACCUUAGGGAUAACAGCGUUAUUAUUUUAGAGAGCUCAUAUCGAUAGAAUAGUUUGCGACCUCGAUGUUGGAUUAAAAUUGGUUUCUGGAGUAGAAGAUUGAUUUACCUGGUCUGUUCGACCAUUAAAAUUUUACAUGAUCUGAGU